Homo sapiens (human) is the source of this 934-nucleotide long non-coding RNA. Ensembl annotates it as DDN and PRKAG1 antisense RNA 1. Its record names the gene DDN-AS1. NCBI's taxonomy places the organism in Eukaryota, Metazoa, Chordata, Mammalia, Primates, Hominidae. The record is from Ensembl.
GCUCCGGCCGCAAGGGAGCAGGGAGCCCUGCCAGCUGGGCCACCCGAGGGGCGUUGCGGGGCUCCGGGCGGGGUCGACCCGGGGGGCUCCGUCGGGCCCCACCAGCCUUGCGCCUUUUUCGCUCGGUCUCCUUGGCCUCCCGCUCCUGCGACGCCGCUUUCCUUUUCUCUUGCUCCCGAGCUCGGACCUCGGCCAGGGGCCCCGCCCGCCAGUUGGUCGCCUCCUGCAGCACCCUGGAGGCCCAGGGCCGGCGGGGCGGCGGCUGUGGGGAUCCCGGGCGCGGCCCACACCUGGGACAAUGAGCAGGAACCCAGGGUCUUGCUGUGUUGCUGAGCUGGUCUUGAACUCCUGGCCUCCCGCCUCAGUCUCCCAAAGUGCUGGGAUUACAGGGAAUGUGACUUCACUGGACGCAGUAUAAAGAUCUUCAGAUGUCCUCCUGCCGGGGAUUGCAGGGAUCACAGAAAGACCAUCGAGGUCCAGGAGCUACCUGCAAGCGGAGAUCCCUCUGGACGCCCCGUGCCUCACCCAGCAAAGCCGGCUCACAACCCUGCGCUCUCAAACCUCUAAAAGGGCUUGAGGUGCCAAUAGGAAAGGAGGCCCGAGAUUGCCACGGCAUACGUGGGCCCCAAGGAGGGAGCCAGGAGUCACUGCCUGCUUGGGCUAAGGGUACCGCGUACGGAAAGGCGGCGGGGACGCGGCCCAGUUCCAGGAGAUGCGCCCAACGAAGAAGCGGAGGAACAGGGUCACGGGAUAGGGCAGACACCCGGCUGCUUUUUGUUUGCUAGACACCAGCGCCAGCCCCUGCCCGGCCCUCCCGGUCUCCUAAGGGUUGGGGGGGUGUCUUAGGCUCCACAGCGCCCCCGACCGCCCUCCUGCACUCCUCACCGUCUCCAUUGCAAGAGGCGCCCGGCUUGGUUUCCUCGCUUUAGGAAAC